GGAUUGACGGACUGAAGGCUCUUUCUCGAUUCCGUGGAAAGUGGUGCAUGGCCGUUUUUGGUUGGUGGAUCGAUCCGUCUGGUUAAUUCCGUUAACGAACGAGACCUCGGCACUCCGAAUAGCGCGGCGGACGUCGCGGCCUCCGGGCCGUCUUCCGCACGAGCUUCUUAGAGGGACCGUCCCCCGCCGGGGAAGGAGGUGCGAGGCAACGACAGGUCUGUGAUGCCCUUAGAUGUUCUGGGCCGCACGCGCAUUACACUGACGCGUCCAACGGGUGACUCCCGACCCGAAGGGGCCGGGGAAUCCGCAAGGCGCGUCGUGAUGGGGAUUGAACGUUGCAAUUGUUGUUCACGAACGAGGAAUUCCUAGUAGGCGCGGGUCAUCAACCCGCGCCGAUUACGUCCCUGCCCUUUUGUACACACCGCCCGUC
Molecule: ribosomal RNA, 430 nt
Filed under: uncultured eukaryote
Lineage: Eukaryota
Description: bacterial SSU rRNA
Rfam family: Eukaryotic small subunit ribosomal RNA
Source: RNAcentral